UACGUAGGGUGCAAGCGUUGUCCGGAGUUAUUGGGCGUAAAGAGCUCGUAGGCGGUUUGUCGCGUCUGCCGUGAAAGUCCGGGGCUCAACUCCGGACCUGCGGUGGGUACGGGCAGACUAGAGUGAUGUAGGGGAGACUGGAAUUCCUGGUGUAGCGGUGAAAUGCGCAGAUAUCAGGAGGAACACCGAUGGCGAAGGCAGGUCUCUGGGCAUUAACUGACGCUGAGGAGCGAAAGCAUGGGGAGCGAACAGG
This 253-nucleotide ribosomal RNA is filed under the name uncultured bacterium. Its description in RNAcentral is "partial 16S ribosomal RNA". It matches the Rfam family "Bacterial small subunit ribosomal RNA", at positions 524 to 776 of the family's 1533-position model. The record is from RNAcentral.